CCAGGCAUGACAACAGCCGAUGUUUCUUGAGUGUUUCCCGGGAAACAAACACAAUACACACAAACGCAAAAUUACACACACACACACACACUUC
Notothenia coriiceps (black rockcod) is the source of this 94-nucleotide long non-coding RNA. RefSeq lists it as uncharacterized. NCBI's taxonomy places the organism in Eukaryota, Metazoa, Chordata, Actinopteri, Perciformes, Nototheniidae. The record is from RefSeq and is a predicted model, not a curated record. The transcript has 3 exons.